Non-coding RNA from Phalacrocorax carbo (great cormorant), 3126 nucleotides. NCBI's taxonomy places the organism in Eukaryota, Metazoa, Chordata, Aves, Suliformes, Phalacrocoracidae. The record is from RefSeq and is a predicted model, not a curated record.
UGAUAAUGGCUCUGCAUAUUUCAGAUGGGUUGUUUCCACUCACUUCUGGGAUAGCAGACAUUCCCAAAAUGAUGCGUCCUGCUGCCGCCCCCUGCCCCCGCUCCGAGUCCUGCUCUCUUACGGAGUGUGGGCGUUUGCCUUAAUUGGUGCUUCCUACACUAUUUUAAGGCUGAAUGCUCUUUCAGGAAAAACAAAUGGACUACAAGAUCCUUGCAACACAAGCAAGUAUUAUUAAAUGCUUCUCUCCCACAUGCCGCUCAUCCAUAGCCCUUUCCCUUGCACCAACUCAAUGAGCAGGUGAUUUCAAGCUGAUCUGAUGUCUCCUGGUUGUAAGGCCUUUCUUUGGACAUGCUGUGAUCCACCUGAGGGGUGGCUUUGCUCCAGGGUCAUCUGAAACUCUCUGGCUGGCAUAUGCAGUUUGUGAAAGGUGCUGAGAGUCGUUUGCCUAAGAGCUUAAUAAAAUUAAACACUGUGACAACUGCUGUGGUCAAAGCAACAUCUGCUUCCUCUGAAAUAUCACAAGCUUGGAACAUACCGGGCCAGAAGAGACAGAAUUGGAGAAAAAAAAAAAUCUUCUAAAGUUAAAAAAACAAAUACCCUUCAGCAGCUACAGUGCGUCAGCGGUACAUCCUGGCACCGAGGCUGGCCGAGCGUGGGCACAUGCAUGCCUGCAUGCCAGGAACGCCGUGCUGGCCAGCACUCGGCCCUGGGAGCUGCACAUGGUCCCUGCAGACCCAGCUGCUGCCUUACGUCCUUGCCACCAUGCAGGGAACCCCUGGAGCUGGUGGGGCAGGAGGACCCCAUGCCACGGAGCAUCUCCUCGUGCCUCAGGUCCUCCCCUGUCAUAUCAACCUCAUGGGUGUGUGUGGCCAGACCCGAAGCAUGGGGACUGUGACUAGUGACACAGAAACCUGGAAUUAUGUUUGUUAUGGGCAAAUAGCCAUAUAAAUGCCGAUAUACGUUCUUGCAUACUCCAGUCUCAGGCAGGACUAUCUCCACACAGUAAAGUCAGGUUCUCUGGAUAUUUCUAUAUCUCUUGCGCUUUUGUUGCCCUCCACAGGAGGCACAAAGUGUCUCCUCCUGCACCUCCAAUCCCUUCCCCUGCUGCAGGAAAGAAACAUUUGGAAAAGUUGUCAGCCUGAUCCUCCUUCUCCUCGUUAAAUUUAGCACAAGCUUGUAAAGGGCCAUCAGGAACAGCAAUGAGAGAGCUGCAGGUUUUGGUUCAUGGUUAUCUACAAGGUCAGAGAGAAGUACAGCCUGUGUUAGUGAAGGUUCUUCAGUUCUCAUGCAGUUUAAACAAAGAGGAGUAUGUUAAAAAUAAGAAAAACAAAAUGUGUUAGUCAGUCCUAACUCUCACAAACCUAAACACCUUCCUAUCCUGCUGCCCGAAAUUGCGCCUUCCAUUUGCAAUAUUGAUAAAAUAUAAUCAGCUACAUUUAGAUUGGAUAUUAGAAAAAAUUCUUCACUGAAAGAGUGUUCAGGCAUUGGAACAAGCUGCCCAGAGAGGUGGUGGAGUCACCAUCCCUGGAGGUAUUUAAAAGACGUGUAGAUACGGCACUUCAGGGCAUGGUUAAGGAGAUAUGGUAGUAUUGGGCUGACAGCUAGACUUGAUGAUCCUAGAGGUCUUUUCCAGCCUUAAUGAUUCUAUGAUUUUAUUCUAUGAUUUAAUGGCAGUUAGCUUUGAUGAAGGCUGGGAAUGUCAAUGAACAACCUGCCACCAUGCAGGACUCCCAAAACAUACCUCCAUCUAAGUGGGGAUCUCCCCGGGGGUCUCCAAGCUAAUGGCAUCCUGCUUGACAGAGAAAGAAGCCAGAGAAAUUUCAAGCUAAGAGUGUUUUACCAUCUUUUGUUCUUUUUUUUCCUCUUUUUCUUUUUUAUCUUUUCCUUCUCCCUUUCUUCUGCCACCCACUCAGCAUUGCCCUCCCUUUGCUUUCAGUCCUCUCCUGCACUCUGUCCCCACCGCUGUGCAUGGGUUUUGGGCCUUCUCCUGACCCCUUUCACUGAGCCUCCUCUGUUUCCGUGCCAGACCACCUUCAUCCUGACCCUGUCCAGGCUCCCUUUGGUCUCUCAGGCUCCCUGCCUUCAGCCCAGUCCCCCUCUCCCUCACGCCAGGUCCCUGCCUGACUGUGCCACUGCUGGGGGACAGCCCAGUGGGUGCUCCCUUUUCCACCCCCAUGGCGGUGGUACACAGUGUAGCAGAGUGGCAAGAACAAGCAUUUUCUACAGCAUGAGAAAGGGGAGCUAGAUGACAGACCAACAGCACUGCUCAUCACCCCUGAGGACAGCCAACACCUCCCUCGGGCUCAGCUCCAGCCUUUGUCCCAUCUCAUUCCCUGUCUCCCUCUCCCUCUUUUUCCCUGCCUUAGUCCACGUCAUUUCCAUUGCAACCAGAAUACACUCACUCUUUCUUUUCUUUAAUGGACCUGCGCUGAAAUGUGUCUUAACUGUAUUUUUAGCAAAAAGCUUGGCAGCCUGGCAGCCCCUGGGCGUUUUGCCACCUUGAACGAAAAAUGUGCAUUGGCCCGAUAAGAAUUACAAUGGGGUGCUCCGGGACAGUGAGUGGGGAGCACCCUGCCGGCUGCCUACCAGCUCCAUGGGGAAAGAGAGGACUGCCCCCAACCAAUGCUUGCCCCCCCAUCCCAUGCCCUGCCAUGCAGGAUCGCUUAACACACCCCAAGUUGACCUCUUGUAUGCCCUUAAAGGUAUAUGAGGAGGGGUUCCUGGGGAAGCCAUGGGAGUUAAGUGGAAGAAAGCUGUGGCGUGGCUGGAAUAGGGGUAAUUGCUGGGUGCAACGGUGCUGCAGGCAACAUUAACGCAGCACCUUGUCCCAAAAAGCUGCCUUGAUGAGUGUAGCAACCAGGUAAAGAUGGGGACAAGCGCAGCUCCCAGCACCACAGCCUGAGGGUGGCUCCUUUCCCUUUGCUUUACCCCUUCAGCAGCACCGGGGCCAGGGGCGAGGCAGUGACCCCCUUCACAGGCAUGGCGUGAGAUCUGGGAGCCGGCACCAUUGGCCCCAGUGCUGUGGUUGGCACUGUUUGCUGGGGGUUGUUGUCCGCUGACAUGUCAGACAAAAUAUUUGCAAGUGGGGAUGGCCUGCCAUGGUGAUUUCCAGCUGCAAUCAAUAAG